ACAAACUGGCUAACCACUCAUUCCUUGCAGAGAGCCUAAAGAGCAAGGUACCAGAAAUGAUUGCUAGUGUCGAGGCGUUGCUGGAAAGCAAAGUCUGUAAUUAAGAAGAAGUAUGGCCAAGAUGCAACAAAUGUUGGUGAUGAGGGUGACAUUGCUCUAAUAUCCAGGAGAACAAGGAAGGUCUUGAAUUGCUUAAAACAGCUAUUGCUAAAGCUGGUUACACUGGUAAAGUUGUGAUUGGGAUGGAUGUGGCUGCUUCUGAGUUUUAUGGUAAAGACAAGACUUAUGAUCUAAACUUCAAAGAAGAGAAUAAUGAUGGCUCACAAAAGAUAUCAGGUUAUGACUGAAGGCUCUCAUUUCAUUGGAAAGUUUGGAAGCUACUGCAAGUUCUUUCUACUUGCUAGGGAUGAGAAUAUUUUAGUUUGUGCACAAGAGAAUCUUUUAAGUUUGUGCACAUGAGAAUCUUUCAAGUUUGUAUUUGUUAGGGAUUUGUUAUGUUAGUACUUGUUACUGACUUUUAGUUCAACAAAUUAUAUUUGAGUAUUGACUUUU
Long non-coding RNA from Coffea eugenioides, 552 nucleotides. RefSeq lists it as uncharacterized. NCBI's taxonomy places the organism in Eukaryota, Viridiplantae, Streptophyta, Magnoliopsida, Gentianales, Rubiaceae. The record is from RefSeq and is a predicted model, not a curated record. The transcript is spliced from 6 exons.